This 186-nucleotide ribosomal RNA is filed under the name Staphylococcus pseudintermedius. Its description in RNAcentral is "partial 16S ribosomal RNA". It matches the Rfam family "Bacterial small subunit ribosomal RNA", at positions 1 to 181 of the family's 1533-position model. The record is from RNAcentral. Lineage: Bacteria; Bacillati; Bacillota; Bacilli; Caryophanales; Staphylococcaceae.
UUUAUGGAGAGUUUGAUCCUGGCUCAGGAUGAACGCUGGCGGCGUGCCUAAUACAUGCAAGUCGAGCGAACAGAUAAGGAGCUUGCUCCUUUGACGUUAGCGGCGGACGGGUGAGUAACACGUGGGUAACCUACCUAUAAGACUGGAAUAACUCCGGGAAACCGGGGCUAAUGCCGGAUAACAUGU